GUGUCAGCAGCCGCGGUAAUACGGAGGGUGCAAGCGUUAUCCGGAUUCACUGGGUUUAAAGGGUGCGUAGGCGGGCAGGUAAGUCAGUGGUGAAAUCCUAGAGCUUAACUCUAGAACUGCCAUUGAUACUAUCUGUCUUGAAUAUUGUGGAGGUAAGCGGAAUAUGUCAUGUAGCGGUGAAAUGCUUAGAUAUGACAUAGAACACCUAUUGCGAAGGCAGCUUACUACGCAUAUAUUGACGCUGAGGCACGAAAGCGUGGGGAUCAAACAGGAUUAGAUACCCCCGUAGUCC
This 292-nucleotide ribosomal RNA is filed under the name uncultured bacterium. RNAcentral describes it as "partial 16S ribosomal RNA". It matches the Rfam family "Bacterial small subunit ribosomal RNA", at positions 505 to 796 of the family's 1533-position model. The record is from RNAcentral.